CCAUGCAACUCCCGCCCCCGCUCCGUAAUUGGUGAGGGUAAUUGCCGCUCCCAGUACGGCGGAGCUGGGCUCUCUCUCGGUCCACCGGCACCACCUGUUGCCCUUAAGUUAGAAAAGGCGGCGUUCUCGGAGGGAGCCAAGCAGCCGCUGCAGGUGAAGGGGAGCCUCGGGCGGUCAGGUCGCCGCCAGGCUGCCGGCUCCGUUAGGCCCGGCGCACCUGCAGCGCAGCCAGGGCGCCAAGCUGAGGCUCUCACAUCCGGGGCCCGCAGUCACCGCCAACGCGUUAACCCUUUGUCCGCAGGCCCACGGGUGCCGGCUGUGACCGCGCGGGCCCCUGAGGUGCUAGAGAUUAGACCUGGCGCGCCCGCUAGGAUCUUGCAUUGUCGAAAAGUCAGCUCCAAAAUUGCUGCAAUGAUAAGUUUGCUGAACUGCAUCUCUGCCCAGUGCCACUUCCUCGCAAAGACAACCCGCAGUGUAGUGCCCUGCUGCUUCCUUUGGCCUCUGUUGGUAAGAAAAUGGCUAAGAAAAUCGCUGCUGCUCUUCCGCCUCCAUUUCCUCCUUCAUCAGAACGGGGAGGCAAACGCGCGGAACGGAAAGGGGCUGUGGGGCAGCGGCCAGAUUGGAUUUUUCCUCCGCAGCCCUGAAGGGAUGUUUCUAAUGACUCAAGGAAAAUUAGCGGUGGUCCUGGAACUGUUCAUCUAAGUCUACUAGUCAUCAAAUGCAAAAUGCUUUUCACUGGAUGAUUCUGACUAAAUGUAGUUUUGUCUUUGAUCAAUAAGUUCACAAAUAUUUAUUGAACACCUAAUAGGCUGUAGAAACAAUUCUGUGUGCUUGGGGAUAAAAUGGUGAGCAAAACACGCUGUCCCUGCCCUUGUGGAAUAUUGGAGUCUCUAUGGAUAAAUAAAUUUAUAAAAUGUUUUCAGCGGUAAUUUCAGGGUUCUUAUGACAACCUGCAAAAGAAGUAAUGACUUAAAGUUGUAGGAAAGCUUUAGUCGACAAAACAUCUUUUUGGUGAAGACUGUAAGAUUGUAACUUGGAAGAACCUAUAUGGUACACUUUUUAAAAAUUGUACUUUUUUUCUUUUAAAUAUGGAUUGGAAUUUCCUCAAGAAAUAUCAUAGUUUUUCUCAAGACCACUAUUGCCAGUGGUAUUUAUUUCUUUUAUGACUAGCACAGGAACGUGCAUACUUGUAAUACUGGAUUCUUAAAGUCGGAAACAGGCUGGCCAACGUGGGGAGACCCCACCUCCACGAAAAAUACAAAAAAUUAGCCGGGCGUGGUGGCAGGCGCCUGUAAUCACAGCUCCUCAGGAGGCUGAAGCAGGAGAAUCACUUGAACCCAGGAGGCGGAGGUUGCAGUGACCUGAGAUCGCGCCAUUGCACUCCAGCCUGUGCAACACGAGCGAAACUUCGUCUCAAAAAAAAAAACAGAACAGAAAAAAGCAACGUAAAAACCUAAGUUCUAAGCACAAUGCAUAAUUUCAAGACAGCCACACUAAUUUUGGGAAUAAAACCUAGAAACAUCAAAUGGCACAUUCUAUAAACAUUAAUCUAUUAUAAACUAAGGAUUGCCUGAUUAGUUAUAAUUGUGAAAUCUCAUUAGCCAUUCACAUAAUCAGCAAAUAAUUGAUAAAGGGCUUAGUGCAAUACCCUAUUUCCUUUUCUUGGAAAUUCAACAGGGAUUCUUUAUUAAACUGGAAUAACUUGCAGAUCCUCCUUAAGUCAAUUUAGAGCAAGAAAAUUCUAUGGCCACCCUCUGUUUACAGUAGUUUUGAAAUCAGUAGGCCCUUCCAGUAUUCCUUGCAUAGUCUUCCCUGGAGCAAAAAGGGGAAAAAGGAAAACAAAAGCACUGAGGGCCUGCAAUCUUGCAGAAUCACCCGCAGUGAAUUGCACUUUCAUGUUAUACUCUAGGUUUUAAAACUACAGUAGUUGUUGGCAAACUGCAGCCUGUAGGUCAAAUUCAGGAGGUAAGAAUGGUUUUUACAUGUUUAAAGGGCUGCAAGAGAAUGGAUAAGAAAAGAAUAUGCAAUCAAGAUAAUCUAUGUCCACCCCCCAACACACACAUACAAAAUAAAUGUGCUCUCUGCUUCUGUAGAAAAAUGUUUGGUAUGCCUGUUCUAUAUAUAUACACACACACAUAUAUAUACACACACAUAUAUAUAUACACCAUAUGAAAACAGCAACAAAUGAUACUAAAAGCAAUGGAAUUUGUGGAACACAAAGUUCACUUUGUUUCAUGAUCUUAUAGAAGACCCAUUCAGAGAUUUUACUUAUAUUCUAUGCCAGAAAAAAAUCCC
Molecule: long non-coding RNA, 2295 nt
Filed under: Rhinopithecus bieti (black snub-nosed monkey)
Lineage: Eukaryota; Metazoa; Chordata; Mammalia; Primates; Cercopithecidae
Description: lncRNA (ENSRBIG00000045062.1)
Source: RNAcentral